CAUGGUAGAAAAAAUGUGGGAAGGAAUCUUUAAAAGUAAUAAUCUAAAAACUUUUCUCGCUUUAAGGUUUUGUAAGAGUAAAUUCUUGUUGAACCAAGUUAUUCGGGAAAUGAAUGAAAGUGGCACUCCUAAAACAACGGAAGUGACUAUUCACAGAGGAACCAGGUGAUCACUCCAGGGCUCAGCCAAGCUAAACACUCUUUCAGUUUCUAUUCCUCCUUUCUAACUGGUAUAUUCUAUAAAGCUGUUGUUUUCUCUGAUAUGACUUAAAUAUCUUCGCACCGGGGGAGAAUUGCAUAAUUUCCUUGUGAACAGCUCUGAUUUGUAAUGGGUUAAUAGCUCUGUUUGAGUAUACAAAAUGCUGGCAUGAACAGGUUAAUUCAUUUUCACCUUUUAUUGCCAGUCCAGCAGUUUUUCCCUCUGAGUCUGUCCCCGUUGCCCACAUCAACAAUCAAUUUCAUAAAUUGUCGGAGAAUUCUAUUAUAAAAGCCUUACCUGGAAUAAGGUAGAUGGCACUGAAGAUGCCGCUCAGCAGGAAGAGCCCUUUAGUAACACAUCUCCUUACCCUAUGAACUUGGGACAGACGUUCUCUUUCACAAAGUCCUGUCAGCAUUGUGGUCCCGAUCAAUGAUAAUGUUGUGUUCACCCCACCUUUGUUGCCUACUAACAAAUGUUUAAACUCAGAUCAGCUACAAAAAAUAUCUAACUGCAUCUACUGUUUAAGGCUUUCUUCAUCACAGCUCUGUGUUUCUACUGCCAUCUUUUCAUGUCCUGUGCAAAUUCUGUUUGAGGGGAAAGCAGCACUCUUCUCCAAAUGAGUAACAGUUGGAAAUAAGGAAGGAAGUGGACACACAGACACAGUAAGAGGAAACACACAUACAGUGAGAGGAAGCACACAUUUUUGUAUUUCUGGCAUUUGCUAUUAACCAAGGAAUGAAACACAGAAAAACUGAGCUUUUAUUUCUAAUUUGUUUGUUUCAAAGUUUGUCAAUGUUUUUGUAAAUGUUUAAUUUUCUGUUAAUUUCAAUUCAUGUACAGGAACAUAUACUUAUUACACAAUCUGUUCAAUCUUUUUCUUUAGGAGUUUCAAUACAGGAUGAGUACAAGUGAAAAUUUGUGAUACUAGACGCAUUACUUCAGCUUCCUAUUCAUGCAUCAGCAGUAAACAC
Molecule: long non-coding RNA, 1169 nt
Filed under: Scleropages formosus (Asian bonytongue)
Lineage: Eukaryota; Metazoa; Chordata; Actinopteri; Osteoglossiformes; Osteoglossidae
Description: lncRNA (ENSSFOG00015027187.1)
Source: RNAcentral